This 253-nucleotide ribosomal RNA is filed under the name uncultured bacterium. RNAcentral describes it as "partial 16S ribosomal RNA". It matches the Rfam family "Bacterial small subunit ribosomal RNA", at positions 524 to 776 of the family's 1533-position model. The record is from RNAcentral.
UACAGAGGUGGCAAGCGUUGUUCGGAAUUACUGGGCGUAAAGGGCGCGUAGGCGGCCUUCUAAGUCAGACGUGAAAUCCCUCGGCUUAACCGGGGAACUGCGUCUGAUACUGGAUGGCUUGAGUUUGGGAGAGGGAUGCGGAAUUCCAGGUGUAGCGGUGAAAUGCGUAGAUAUCUGGAGGAACACCGGUGGCGAAGGCGGCAUCCUGGACCAACACUGACGCUGAGGAGCGAAAGCUAGGGGAGCAAACAGG